CCGCUCGACAAUGCUUUCACAAACGUCCUCCCUUCGCAGCUUCUUCUCCCUCGCAUUCUUGCCUUCUCACCGUCGCACCAGAGGCGUCGCCCCUCUCAUCGUUGCUCCUCCGCCAUCUCCGCUGGCAACAUCGCCGCUCCGCCGUCACUGCUCCGCUCCUCCACCGUUUCGCCAACCCACAGUCACCGCCAAAGCCUGGCCUAGGUAUUCUGAACAGUAACUUACAGUUUUCUGAGUCACUGGCGUUCACACCAACAACCUCCAAUGAUUAUCAAUCAUGAGAAAUAUUAGAUUUGGAUGAUUUCAACAUCGAAAAAGCGAUCAAGAAUACAAAGUAUGUACUAGAAAAGCCAAAUAGAAGUAUAGAUCAUCUCUGCUUCUGCAAAGGCUUGGAGUGCAGUAACCCCACAGUCUCAGCAGAGCAGCUUCCUGGUAGCUCAUGUUUGUGGCCACUGAACUGAGAGUGAACAGCUGCACAUUCACUUACUUUUAUUCUCAAUGAAGUGGCUAGAGGCAUUUACUUUUAUGUAUUGCCGACCUGAAAAUGAAGUGGCUAAAGGAGGCGUCUGCUUUCAUGUAUUGCCAAUUUGCUUUUUGUUACAUAUAUCAUGUGAAUGGUCGUCUCUUUAAUGAACUGGUUGUAUGGUGAUUUGUUUUGGCAUGAUUCAUGAAGAAAUAUAUGGGUUCUGCAGUC
Molecule: long non-coding RNA, 694 nt
Organism: Nymphaea colorata (pocket water lily)
Lineage: Eukaryota; Viridiplantae; Streptophyta; Magnoliopsida; Nymphaeales; Nymphaeaceae
Exons: 2
Source: RefSeq, a predicted model, not a curated record